GGUUGUAUAGUGUAGUGGUGAUCACAUCGGAUUCUGAUAUGCAAGUUAAGCUUUCCGGGAACCCCGGUUCGAUCCCGGGUACGACCU
This is a non-coding RNA of Geotrichum reessii, 87 nucleotides long. The record is from the annotation of a GenBank genome assembly. Lineage: Eukaryota; Fungi; Ascomycota; Dipodascomycetes; Dipodascales; Dipodascaceae.